Long non-coding RNA from Amphiprion ocellaris (clown anemonefish), 500 nucleotides. The record is from Ensembl. NCBI's taxonomy places the organism in Eukaryota, Metazoa, Chordata, Actinopteri, Pomacentridae.
AGCUGCAGCUAAUUAAGGCAGGUGGACGACAGAGUGAGGAGUGGAGAAAGAGGAGGUCUCUGAUUCAGUUUGACGUAAUGUUUACUUUAAAAUUGUGACAACUAAACCCGACUGGCUUUGAAUCCAAGAACUAGCUGGACUUGUGGACAUUUCUGGUCAAUGAGGAGCUGCUGACUAUGAUUUAAUCCUAGGAGAAGAGUUGGAGGUAGUUUGUUCAGCUGCCUCUUCGGCCUGCUUGGACAGUGGUGGAUGUCUGUGUCUCUGUUGGAUCCUGGUUAAGACAAGCAAACCUGACUGUGGUGCACGUAGCCUUUGGUCCAAUGCAUGCUGGGAUAGAAACCAACCUCCUGCAACCCUGACCAGCAUCUAAUUCCAGAUCUGUGGGAGGAUGGACACUGAUUUGUGCAACAAGGCCUUUCUCCCAGAUUGUUCCGGUUUAUGCCAAAGGAGCUGGAUUUGUCUGGGGCGCAGGCCAGACAGGUUCUUCCACAUCAAACUGG